This 470-nucleotide long non-coding RNA is filed under the name Pan troglodytes (chimpanzee). RNAcentral's name for it is "lincRNA". The record is from RNAcentral. Lineage: Eukaryota; Metazoa; Chordata; Mammalia; Primates; Hominidae.
AGUUCUAAGAGACGUCUCAAUCCAGAGGUUUGGAAAUUGAGCCUUUCAAGAAUCACAGCGUGUAGGUCUUGGGAAGGACCUAGAGAUGAUGCUGUCUAGAUUUCCCCAGCCUUCUCUUUGAACUUGACCUUCAACCACUGGAUCUUGAACCAGAAAACAGUUGAAAGGACAUAGUGGAGCCAGCGUGGGAUCAAGUAUGAAGACUGAGCUAUGUGCUGACGAGGACUUUCACCUGGGAGAAGAGCUCAUUCUUCCUAUCGUUUCCCUGGGAAGAACAUGGCUGAAACAACUUACUGUACAGACCACAGAAGUGAGACCAAAAACACUGAGAUGAGGAAGAGGUGUGGCAAAAUGGCUUUGUUGUGGUGGAAGAUGAAUUGUCGUCUCAAGGGGGCAGAGGACUGCCUGUGAGCUUCCUUAACAUGGAGCCCGAAACUGGUGUUUGCACAGUCCUUGAGGAAAGGGUUUGC